AGUGAACGCUGGCGGUAGGCCUAACACAUGCAAGUCGAACGGCAGCACAGUAAGAGCUUGCUCUUACGGGUGGCGAGUGGCGGACGGGUGAGGAAUACAUCGGAAUCUACUUUUUCGUGGGGGAUAACGUAGGGAAACUUACGCUAAUACCGCAUACGACCUACGGGUGAAAGUAGGGGAUCUUCGGACCUUGCGCGAUUGAAUGAGCCGAUGUCGGAUUAGCUAGUUGGCGGGGUAAAGGCCCACCAAGGCGACGAUCCGUAGCUGGUCUGAGAGGAUGAUCAGCCACACCGGAACUGAGACACGGUCCAGACUCCUACGGGAGGCAGCAGUGGGGAAUAUUGGACAAUGGGCGCAAGCCUGAUCCAGCCAUACCGCGUGGGUGAAGAAGGCCUUCGGGUUGUAAAGCCCUUUUGUUGGGAAAGAAAAGCAGCAGGUUAAUACCCCGCUGUUCUGACGGUACCCAAAGAAUAAGCACCGGCUAACUUCGUG
Molecule: ribosomal RNA, 492 nt
Filed under: uncultured bacterium
Lineage: Bacteria
Description: partial 16S ribosomal RNA
Rfam family: Bacterial small subunit ribosomal RNA
Source: RNAcentral